CCUACGGGAGGCUGCAGUGGGGAAUAUUGCGCAAUGGGCGAAAGCCUGACGCAGCGACGCCGCGUGAGGGAUGAAGGUCUUCGGAUCGUAAACCUUUGUCAGCAGGGAAGAACGGUCACUGUGCUAAUCAGCAGUGAAUUGACGGUAUCUGCAAAGGAAGCACCGGCUAACUCCGUGCCAGCAGCCGCGGUAAUACGGCGGGGGCGAGCGUUAAUCGGAUUUACUGGGCGUAAAGCGCUCGUAGGCGGUAUGUCAAGUCAGUGGUGAAACCCCCGCGCUCAACGGUGGAAUUGCCUUUGAGACUGGCAGACUGGAGUGUGUGAGAGGAUAGUGGAAUUCCAGGUGUAGGAGUGAAAUCCGUAGAUAUCUGGAAGAACAUCAGUGGCGAAGGCGACUAUCUGGCACAUAACUGACGCUGAGGAGCGAAAGCGUGGGUAGCAAACAGGAUUAGAUACCCCAGUAGUC
RNAcentral lists this ribosomal RNA (465 nucleotides) under uncultured bacterium. RNAcentral's name for it is "partial 16S ribosomal RNA". It matches the Rfam family "Bacterial small subunit ribosomal RNA", at positions 338 to 795 of the family's 1533-position model. The record is from RNAcentral.